UACAGGGAGAUUUAUGGCCCCAGAUAGUUCUGUGCACAUUUCUAAUAAACAUGUGUCCAGUAGGAGAUGUAUGUCUGCAUGCUAAACUUCCCCAAAGAUUGGGGCUGCUCACAUCUGGGGGUUUGGUUUUGAUCCACAUCUAGCUGUUCUAGGGCUGCCAAGGGGAGUUGUAUGGGAAGCAGGGAGGGUUUGUGGCUACUGGCAAGCAGGACGAGUCAGAACUGCUACCUACAAUGACUCCAUUGCCCUCAGACCAAAUGCAGCAGGGAGUGAGUGAUACAGAGCAGUAGUGGGAGGUUGGGCUUCCUGAUUCAAUUCAGCAGAGGCAGUAAGCAGAUCACUACAACAAAAAUUCAGAGGGUUAAACAAAAUCAGGUGAAAUACUGACAGCAUUCUCGUACCCAUUCCAACAGAACUUCCAGAGCAAGUCACUAGAAUGAAAUACAAAGAAGAGGCA
Long non-coding RNA from Mauremys reevesii (Reeves's turtle), 457 nucleotides. RefSeq lists it as uncharacterized. The transcript has 3 exons. The record is from RefSeq and is a predicted model, not a curated record. NCBI's taxonomy places the organism in Eukaryota, Metazoa, Chordata, Testudines, Geoemydidae.